UAUUAGACACGUUAUCUAUAGUCCAGACUUAACUUCCUGCAUGCAAAUGUCUGAGGCUGCAAAAUGAGCCUUUCCUGUUGGGCCUGUGUGAGCAGUAGGGCUACACCCACAUGUGCAUGGUUUAUGUUUAUCAGUUUACAAAUGCAGGAAGAAGAAAGGCUCAUGUAGAAGUUUUACAACCGAUAACCAAAUGAUGUGAGCUGCUAGGCCUGUGAAAGCUUGCAAAGCUGUGUGAAAGGAGGAACACUCUGGAUGGGAGCUAAAGGACAGCACACUACUGGGAGCUAGUUUGAACAUUAUUUCUGUUGCAUUAUGUUGUUGAAGGGUGUGCUUGUGGGAAAGCAGCACGCUCAGCAGGUUUGAACAGAUCUUCUUAAAUCUUCUCAGACAGCUUUUUCUUUUUUUUCAUUGCUUUUUUUCUUUUGACAACAUAAUUGCAAACUGUGUGAUGUGCUAUAUGAGCUAAUCCCCAACUGGAAAUGAGGAAAACAUGGUUUAGGACAUUGCUGCUGAACUUUUUAUGUUUUUAUACAUGUCAAGCUAAAACAUGUGUAGUUGGAAUGUUGGGGGAAUCUGUCUCUAUUCCCUGUCUUUAUAAUGGACCAGAGGAUUUGAGCUCUUUAAACAUUUCAUUUGAAUGGAAAAGAGGCUCUGAGGUGGUCUACAAAGCUGUGUGGAGAGGGGGACAUGAGGAAAGACUCGAAGUGGACUUCAAUGGCAGGAGCACAGUGUCCUCUCUGGCACAAACUGGAAAUUUCACGUUGAAGUUAAGUGACAUCCGUUUUCCAGAUGCCCAGAAUUACAGUCUAUAUUUAAAGCGUCUGGACCGUGGAGCUAAUGCUUCAAUAUGCACUGUCUGCCUGAGUGUUGCAGACGUCCCCCUGAGCACUACUGAGAAACUGCACUGACUUUGGACUUGAUAGUGGACCAACACCUCUGUGUUUUAUCAUGUCCAAAGUCAAUGUCAUGCUGAAAACUUUUAUGGAGAUGGGGAUUUCAUUUUCCAGCAGGACUUGGCACACUACCCACACUACCAAGAGUACUAAUUGUUCUUAUGUAAUAUGUUUUCUGAGACACUGUAUUUUGGGGUUUUAUUGGCUGUAAGCCAUAAUAAUCAGCAAUAAAUAAAAUAAAUGCUUAAAAUAGAUCACUCUGUAUGUACAUCUAUAUAUGAGUUUUAUAUUUUGAACUGAAUAAUUCAAACAAAAUAACUUUUCAAUGAUAUUCUAAUUGUUUUUUAAAUGCACUAGUGUAUAGUAUACUUGUCUAUGUUCUUUACCAGUGCUCAGAACUAUUGAGUUAAAACAGUGUUUCAAGGGGGUUAGGAGAACAGUCACUUCCAAUGUUUCAAAGCAUUAGUUUAACAGCAUUGUCAUUUUUAAAUUCUUUCCCAGCUCAUUUUACUCCACCUGUGUUGAUGAGAACGGGUGGGAAAGAGGGAGAAGCAACUCGAUUGGUUUGCCAGUCUCAGGGCGGUUUUCCUGAACCUGCAGUUCACUGGUAUAUCAACCACACUCAGCAUCCCCCAGCGGACACAGUCAGUACACAUACAAGCACUCUUCCCCAUUCUAAACUCUACAACGUCACCAGCAUCCUUUAUACUGCCAUUCCACGAGACACCACCGUAUCCUGUGCCAUAGAAAACCACCUGCUGAAUGAAACUCUGACCACAAUCAGCUAUGACGUUGGGUCCAUUCACUCACAUGGAUUCGUAUGGAUUCUCAGCGUCAUUCUUUGUGUGAUAGUGACUGUGCUGGUCUUAAUAGCUCUGUGUUACCAGAAGAAAUGGGACAGAGACAGAAGAAGAGAACGUGAAGAUGAUUCAGUCUGUGAGGAAACAGAAAUGAUCAUGCUGGACAUGGACGCCAUGGACGGGCAACUUAACAUAGACUAAUCUGGUAUAUGAUAACCAGCUCUCAGCUGUCAGCUGUUGAAAGUGUUGUCCUGGUACUUAAUAUUGUCACACUGGAUUAGCAAAGUGAUGAAUCGACUUUACAUAACAUAGUUUCUUGUUCCUUUUUUCAGACAUGAUGACUGGCCACACACCACUACUGCACUGCUGGACUGUAUUCAUUAACUCAACAAAUAUAAUAUUAAAGCAUAUUGUGACUGUCUCACAAAAAACACCACAAAAUAGCUACUUCCUUUCCAGGAAAAUGGGACAAAAGCACUUUGGAGCACUUCAAUUUGUCCAUUUAUCAUAAUAUUUGAAUCUGGCAGAAUCAGUUUAAGUUAAAAAUUACAAAAACUGUAUUAAGUGAGAGAAAAAUAAAUUUUAGUAC
This is an RNA transcript of Astyanax mexicanus (Mexican tetra), 2282 nucleotides long. It is a transcript of the gene named ICOS ligand-like, with no coding region annotated. NCBI's taxonomy places the organism in Eukaryota, Metazoa, Chordata, Actinopteri, Characiformes, Acestrorhamphidae. The record is from RefSeq and is a predicted model, not a curated record. The transcript is spliced from 5 exons.